UGGGGAAUUUUGGACAAUGGGGGAAACCCUGAUCCAGCCAUCUCGCGUGUGCGAUGAAGGCCUUCGGGUUGUAAAGCACUUUUGUCAGGAAAGAAACGUCAUGGGUUAAUACCCCGUGAAACUGACGGUACCUGCAGAAUAAGCACCGGCUAACUACGUGCCAGCAGCCGCGGUAAUACGUAGGGUGCAAGCGUUAAUCGGAAUUACUGGGCGUAAAGCGUGCGCAGGCGGUUCGGAAAGAAAGAUGUGAAAUCCCAGAGCUCAACUUUGGAACUGCAUUUUUAACUACCGGGCUAGAGUGUGUCAGAGGGAGGUGGAAUUCCGCGUGUAGCAGUGAAAUGCGUAGAUAUGCGGAGGAACACCGAUGGCGAAGGCAGCCUCCUGGGAUAACACUGACGCUCAUGCACGAAAGCGUGGGGAGCAAACAGG
This 429-nucleotide ribosomal RNA is filed under the name Acidobacteriota bacterium. RNAcentral describes it as "Acidobacteria bacterium partial 16S ribosomal RNA". It matches the Rfam family "Bacterial small subunit ribosomal RNA", at positions 355 to 776 of the family's 1533-position model. The record is from RNAcentral. Lineage: Bacteria; Pseudomonadati; Acidobacteriota.